UUCUUGGUUGAUCCUGCCGGAGGUCACUGCUAUUGGGAUUCGACUAAGCCAUGCGAGUCGAGAGGGUUCGGCCCUCGGCAGACGGCUCAGUAACACGUGGAUAAUCUGCCCUUAGGUGGAGGAUAAUCUCGGGAAACUGAGGAUAAUACUCCAUAGAUCUAGGAUGCUGGAAUGCACUUAGAUUUAAAGUCCCGGCGCCUAAGGAUGAGUCUGCGGACUAUCAGGUAGUAGUCAGGGUAAAGACCUGACUAGCCUACGAGGGAUACGGGUUGUGAGAGCAAUAACCCGGAGACGAUAUCUGAGACACGAUAUCGGGCCCUACGGGGCGCAGCAGGCGCGAAAACUUCACACUGUGCGAAAGCACGAUGAGGGAAUCCCAAGUGCUUGCUCGUAAGAGUAAGCUGUUUUUAUGUCUAAAAAGCAUAGAGAGUAAGGGCUGGGUAAGACAGGUGCCAGCCGCCGCGGUAA
RNAcentral lists this ribosomal RNA (468 nucleotides) under uncultured archaeon. RNAcentral's name for it is "bacterial SSU rRNA". It matches the Rfam family "Archaeal small subunit ribosomal RNA", at positions 1 to 473 of the family's 1478-position model. The record is from RNAcentral.